UGGGGAAUAUUGCACAAUGGGCGCAAGCCUGAUGCAGCCAUGCCGCGUGUAUGAAGAAGGCCUUCGGGUUGUAAAGUACUUUCAGUCGGGAGGAAGGUGGUAAGGUUAAUAACCUUAUCAAUUGACGUUACCGACAGAAGAAGCACCGGCUAACUCCGUGCCAGCAGCCGCGGUAAUACGGAGGGUGCAAGCGUUAAUCGGAAUUACUGGGCGUAAAGCGCACGCAGGCGGUUGAUUGAGUCAGAUGUGAAAUCCCCGGGCUUAACCCGGGAAUUGCAUCUGAUACUGGUCAGCUAGAGUCUUGUAGAGGGGGGUAGAAUUCCAUGUGUAGUGGUGAAAUGCGUAGAGAUGUGGAGGAAUACCGGUGGCGAAGGCGGCCCCCUGGACAAAGACUGACGCUCAGGUGCGAAAGCGUGGGGAGCAAACAGG
This 429-nucleotide ribosomal RNA is filed under the name Chloroflexota bacterium. RNAcentral describes it as "Chloroflexi bacterium partial 16S ribosomal RNA". It matches the Rfam family "Bacterial small subunit ribosomal RNA", at positions 355 to 776 of the family's 1533-position model. The record is from RNAcentral. Lineage: Bacteria; Bacillati; Chloroflexota.